RNAcentral lists this unclassified non-coding RNA (219 nucleotides) under Hevea brasiliensis (rubber tree). Lineage: Eukaryota; Viridiplantae; Streptophyta; Magnoliopsida; Malpighiales; Euphorbiaceae. The record is from RNAcentral.
CAAAAUUUUGCUGAUGUGACAUGUUAACAUGGCGUUGAGCUAGUAGUGACAUGGCAAGACAGGACUAUGAAAUCAAGUUCUUGUGCUCAUGGUAAUCUGCAUGAGCUCAGCAUACAAAGGCAGGGAUCUGAAAAUCUACCCUUCGGGUUCUCUCAAUAGGUACACCAGAAGGAGGCUUCAAAGGCGGUAAAGGGAAGAUCAGCAAUUGGUGAAGUGUGG